Grus americana (Whooping crane) is the source of this 611-nucleotide long non-coding RNA. RefSeq lists it as uncharacterized. The transcript is spliced from 5 exons. The record is from RefSeq and is a predicted model, not a curated record. Lineage: Eukaryota; Metazoa; Chordata; Aves; Gruiformes; Gruidae.
CGGCUGCUGAGUAAGUGACACGUCUGCCCACAGCUCUGAUGCGGAGGUGGUUUUGUUGUCCGCUUGAGUGAACGCAGGCGUGCCUAUGAGGUGACACAGCAGCCAUUCCUGAGGGAAACCUUUGGAGGUUCUCUGAGUAUGGAAGGGCCAGUUAGGAGACUGAGCAAAGCCAUUGCUACAGAGAGCGAACAAGUGUGUGUCAUUGCCAAUGACAUUGCUGUGGAAAUGCAAAAGAGGAACACCACAUUCUAAGACUUGCUACAGAUACUGGUUGUCCACUUAGUCAUAAAGAAGUGGCUGUUAUGCCAGAAUGUUUUAAAGAAGAGUAAAUCAACCAAUCUGUAAACCUGUUAAGCAGCAACUGUGUCAUAUUAUGGAUCCUUGGCAUUUCAUUCUGAAGAUGAAUUGUCAUGACACUAGUUACUGGAGGUGAAGAUAGUAAACAAGAACAUUACAGUGUGAACCAGAUGAUUUUUGAGAUUUCCUACAUCAAAGGGCCGAAUCCGUCAUGUAUGAAAACAAAUGGAGCUGGGAACUUACAGCAGACUUGGCAAAAGUGUAUGGCAGUGUGGGAUAAACUGAAAGAAGGAUUGCUCCUGACAAACUAAAGG